Molecule: long non-coding RNA, 405 nt
Organism: Sphaeramia orbicularis (orbiculate cardinalfish)
Lineage: Eukaryota; Metazoa; Chordata; Actinopteri; Kurtiformes; Apogonidae
Exons: 3
Source: RefSeq, a predicted model, not a curated record
GUGGGUCGGUCAGUGGUUUUGGUGGUUACCUGUGGGUCGGUCAGUGGUUACCUAUGGGUCAGUCAGUGGUUACUUGUGGGACGGACAGAGGUUACCUGUAGGUCAGUCAGUGGUUACCUGUGUGUCAGUCAGUGGCUAACUGUAGGUUGGUCAGUAGUUAUCUGUAGGUCAGUCAGUGGUUAACUGUAAGUCGAUCAGUGGUUACCUGUAGGUCAGUCAGUGGUUUUGGUGGUUACCUGUGGGUCAGUCAGUGGUUACCUGUAGGUCAGUCAGUGGUUUUGGUGGUUACCUGUGGGUCAGUCAGUGGUUUUGGUGGUUACCUGUGGGUCAGUCAGUGUUUACGUUGGUUACCUGUGGGUCGGUCAGUGGUUUUGGUGGUUACCUGUGGGUCGGUCAGUGGUUUUG